AACAUACAUUUACAGAAAGCAAUGAAGGAUUGGCAACUAAGAUUGUAGAGAAAACUUCUUCAACUAUACUUUUUAUAUAUUAUUUGAUGAAUUUGGAGUCGGGAUAAAGAAGUUAUAGAGAGUUAAAGUCAGCACAUCCAAAUCAAAGUCAAUAAGUAAGUGAUUUUGUUCAUUGUAAUGGUUGGAGCUAUAUCUUAAGAUUUUGGACGAAUUUUUGACUUAAACCUUUUAAAGAAGGUAGAUUAUUAUAUUAAAAAGCUAUAAAUAUAAAUUUUGUGGCAUUUGAGUAUAUAGUUUGAGAGUAAUGAAGAAAUAUACAUACAGGUAUAUAAAAACCUGGAUUUGAAGCUAUUGUUAGGAUUUUAGAGAUAUCUCAAGAUCUACAAUGAAUUUAUAGUUGAAAUUUGUUAUGAUAGUUUUUAGAAGUACAUUAAUACUUUAUGUAAAAUUUGAAUAUGUUUGA
Molecule: long non-coding RNA, 463 nt
Filed under: Physcomitrium patens
Lineage: Eukaryota; Viridiplantae; Streptophyta; Bryopsida; Funariales; Funariaceae
Description: long non-coding RNA (PPAT_LNC013819)
Source: RNAcentral